Molecule: long non-coding RNA, 947 nt
Organism: Gadus macrocephalus (Pacific cod)
Lineage: Eukaryota; Metazoa; Chordata; Actinopteri; Gadiformes; Gadidae
Exons: 2
Source: RefSeq, a predicted model, not a curated record
GGCCGCUCUUGCUCUUGCUCUUUCGGGAAGGCUGCCAGUGCGGGAAAAGGUGUGCAUGCCUGUGCCUGGGUUUGCGGAAACAGCUCCAGCGACGCCCACCAUGACGGCAGUCACACUGGCAUGUUUACCCAGGGCUGUGGCCCCGGCAGAGGCAGAGAGAGAGGGAGAAGAAAAACUUUCCAACUGUGGCAAUUAUCAUUCUUAAGGGCUGAGUCAAGGCACAGGUUUUUUGGGUGACGUAAGCGUAUUGGGACUCGGGUUGCAGUCCAUGUCAAGUGUUGUGGUGUGCUGAAACGAGCCCAGCGCGCCGGGCUUUGUUGUGAUCGUGAACGAUUGAGAGGGCUUGGCCGGUUUGUUGGCUGAGCGAACAAUGAGAACAAUCGGAGUGAGAGUGUGUGAGAGUGUGUGUGUGUGGGUGUGUGUGUGGGUGUGUUACGUUAGAAGAAGAAUCUGACUCCCAGGAAUUUGAAUGAGGUAAUGUAAAACAAUUAAUAUAUAAACGAGGGAAGUGUCCGUCUCUCUUUUGCUUUCUCUCCCGCCCAAGAAGCUCUCACAAAUACCAAAACAAAAAUGGCAUGAAUGCAGAAAACACACUUUCUCUGGGUCCCGGUUGUACAAGAGAGGGGAUUGUGUGUCUUGAGGGGGGGAAGUGAGCAGCUGUUGAGUGCAUUUCUCUAGGGCAGAUGAGGGAGUGUGCCUGGGGUCAGAUGUCUGGCUGACAACUGUUUGCUAGGCUCCAGUUUCCUCCUAGACAGGUGACAAUGGCUAGCGAGCGGUAUGCUGCGGCAUGCCUUGGGUUCGAGGUGUAAAUGCAGGGAGUGAGGUCACGUUGUUUGGUGUGACAACACUGCAACCGGUGUGAUUCAACUGGAAAGUGUUUGUUUUUUUACCCCCCCUAAGCCUGUUGUGGGCGACUUUUACCGUCAUUAAAAAGUCCAACGUGUUAA